AAGCGGUGGAUGAUGUGGUUUAAUUCGAUGCAACGCGAAAACCUUACCACCUUUGACAUGGCAGGAAUCCCGAAGAGAUUUGGGAGUGCUCGAAAGAGAACCUGCACACAGGUGCUGCAUGGCUGUCGUCAGCUCGUGUCGUGAGAUGUUGGGUUAAGUCCCGCAACGAGCGCAACCCUUGCCAUUAGUUGCUACGAAAGGGCACUCUAAUGGGACUGCCGGUGACAAACCGGAGGAAGGUGGGGAUGACGUCAAGUCCUCAUGGCCCUUAUGGGUAGGGCUUCACACGUCAUACAAUGGUCGGUACAGAGGGUUGCCAACCCGCGAGGGGGAGCUAAUCCCACAAAGCCGAUCGUAGUCCGGAUCGCAGUCUGCAACUCGACUGCGUGAAGUCGGAAUCGCUAGUAAUCGUGGAUCAGCAUGUCACGGUGAAUACGUUCCCGGGUCUU
Molecule: ribosomal RNA, 449 nt
Filed under: uncultured Allobrachymonas sp.
Lineage: Bacteria; Pseudomonadati; Pseudomonadota; Betaproteobacteria; Burkholderiales; Comamonadaceae
Description: bacterial SSU rRNA
Rfam family: Bacterial small subunit ribosomal RNA
Source: RNAcentral